Molecule: non-coding RNA, 115 nt
Organism: Paramuricea clavata
Lineage: Eukaryota; Metazoa; Cnidaria; Anthozoa; Malacalcyonacea; Plexauridae
Source: the annotation of a GenBank genome assembly
AUUUUGAGUUAAUAGAUGGAAAAUUUGUCUGGUUUUUAAUUACUGUGCAAAAUUUCAGACAAUUUGGAUUAGUUUUGUACAGUAAUUAAAAACCCGACAAAGUUUCCAUCUAUUA